UCGCAACGCCGCAACGUUGUCACGGGUC
RNAcentral lists this small RNA (28 nucleotides) under Bombyx mori (domestic silkworm). Its description in RNAcentral is "ovarian small RNA-7542". Lineage: Eukaryota; Metazoa; Arthropoda; Insecta; Lepidoptera; Bombycidae. The record is from RNAcentral.